GCCUGAUGCAGCAACGCCGCGUGAGGGACGACGGCCUUCGGGUUGUAAACCUCUUUUAGCAAGGAAGAAGCGAAAGUGACGGUACUUGCAGAAAAAGCACCGGCUAACUACGUGCCAGCAGCCGCGGUAAUACGUAGGGUGCAAGCGUUAUCCGGAAUUAUUGGGCGUAAAGAGCUCGUAGGCGGUUUGUCGCGUCUGCUGUGAAAUCUGGGGGCUCAACCCCCAGCCUGCAGUGGGUACGGGCAGACUAGAGUGCGGUAGGGGAGAUUGGAAUUCCUGGUGUAGCGGUGGAAUGCGCAGAUAUCAGGAGGAACACCGAUGGCGAAGGCAGAUCUCUGGGCCGUAACUGACGCUGAGGAGCGAAAGGGUGGGGAGCAAACAGGCUUAGAUACCCUGGUAGUCCACCCCGUAAACGUUGGGAACUAGUUGUGGGGUCCAUUCCACGGAUUCCGUGACGCAGCUAACGCAUUAAGUUCCCCGCCUGGGGAGUACGGCCGCAAGGCUAAAACUCAAAGGAAUUGACGGGGACCCGCACAAGCGGCGGAGCAUGCGGAUUAAUUCGAUGCAACGCGAAGAACCUUACCAAGGCUUGACAUAUACAAGAACGGGCUAGAAAUAGUCAACUCUUUGGACACUCG
RNAcentral lists this ribosomal RNA (638 nucleotides) under Microbacterium sp. Se2Ps_2409. RNAcentral's name for it is "bacterial SSU rRNA". It matches the Rfam family "Bacterial small subunit ribosomal RNA", at positions 381 to 1030 of the family's 1533-position model. Lineage: Bacteria; Bacillati; Actinomycetota; Actinomycetes; Micrococcales; Microbacteriaceae. The record is from RNAcentral.